GUAGCUCUCCUCCUGCAAUUGUGGUUGCCAUGCUCCCACUGGCUGUAAGGUGAAUAAGGGGAGUUAUGAAGAGGACGAAGACUGCCUGCUGCCUCAGGAGCAGUCAGUAGAUGAGGCCCAGGAGAGUGACUCUGAGGAGAGGAAGAAUGGCAACAGGAAGGAAGAGGGGGAUAACGAUGAAAUUGCAGAUGACUUGGAUAAUUAGGACAAUGUGUAGGAAUACUGUCAACUCUGUGAACUCUUGACCUUUGUGUCAACAAACUCUAACCUUGCUUCACCCAUAUCCCUUUGCACCCUCAGAUAGGAAUAGGUCAGGGAGAACCAAGAGAGGAUGCCUAGUGCGUUGCUGCCAUUGAGAAAAUGGACAAUUAGGGGAUUACUGUGGAAGGAGGGGUCACUAUGUUAGUGGAUGCUCAAAACGCUGCAAACGGCAUUAGAGUGCUGCAUUUUUUCAGGCUGAGAAAGGGUCUUAUGAAAUUGUGACGUUUUGGAAAGCUGUUGAGUGCAGAAAAGUUAGAUUUACUUUGAAGAUACAGUAUGUUGCAAUGAAAUACUUCAACUGUAAAAUAUUAUUAUUCAUAUAUAAGACUCUUUAAAUAUUUUACAGAUUUUCUCUAUAAAUAUGUUAAUCAAGUUUAGCAUGUUUUAAAGUA
Long non-coding RNA from Oncorhynchus masou masou (cherry salmon), 653 nucleotides. RefSeq lists it as uncharacterized. The transcript is spliced from 3 exons. The record is from RefSeq and is a predicted model, not a curated record. NCBI's taxonomy places the organism in Eukaryota, Metazoa, Chordata, Actinopteri, Salmoniformes, Salmonidae.